This 78-nucleotide transfer RNA is filed under the name Komagataeibacter europaeus. RNAcentral describes it as "tRNA-Asp". The record is from RNAcentral. Lineage: Bacteria; Pseudomonadati; Pseudomonadota; Alphaproteobacteria; Acetobacterales; Acetobacteraceae.
UGGCGUCCAGUUCGAUCUUGUGGAACGCCCGGUUGUCACCGGGGCUGCUGACGGGUGCGACGCUCAUGGUUGCCAACC